This 81-nucleotide transfer RNA is filed under the name Opitutia bacterium. RNAcentral describes it as "tRNA-Leu". It matches the Rfam family "tRNA". From Rfam's summary of the family: Transfer RNA (tRNA) molecules are approximately 80 nucleotides in length. Their secondary structure includes four short double-helical elements and three loops (D, anti-codon, and T loops). The record is from RNAcentral. Lineage: Bacteria; Pseudomonadati; Verrucomicrobiota; Opitutia.
GCCCCCGUGGUGGAAUGGCAGACACAUGAGACUUAAAAUCUCCCGCGUAACAGCGUGCUGGUUCGAGUCCAGCCGGGGGCA